GGAUUUGAUGUAGAAAGAGCUGCAGAAGGCAUCUCAUCCAUCAUUGGCAUACACAAGUGAUUUGGUCACAGAAUGCCCUGAAGACUAUAAAGCAUUGAACAGAAGCAGUCACCGUGAUUUUCAUGGGGCUUGCUGGAGGGAGGACGGCAGAGAGGAAACCAGUGGAAAAUAGCACAAAGCAGCAUGUAAUGGAGAACUUGCUAACAAGGUGUGGACUGCAAGUGUCUUAGAAGUUGUGAAAAAGAGGGAUCCGUAGGGGACAAGGGAGUUGAACGACAAAGUCAGGGAAUGUUGGGGUUGAAGGUGGAACUGACAUGGAUAAUAUGACUUUACUGGGAAAAGCUCACUAGAGACACAGCCCCUAUGCUCAUGGGAACCGUCACUUCUGAUGCACCUGGAAUAGUAAAAGGGGACCUGCAGGCCAUGAGAGAAAUAGAAGGAUGUGAGUGAGAUUAGAAAUCCCCAAAACAAGGUGAGCAGCACGUGGAAACAGAGCACAAUGCACUUAGAGGCUGAGCUGAGCUGAGGGAUGCGGUGCCCACAGCCCCUGCCUAGGCUUAGGUUACCAUAGGCCAGGGCUGAAUAAGGGAGCAGACUAUUGAGGGCACUGUGUGCUUUGCUCUGACCCUUUGGAAUGGGCUGGCUGCCUUGGGAGGCACAUGCCGUGCCCUGAGGAGCAGCGUGUGUUCAGAGUGACUGCCAGCAGCUGACUGCUCAGUUACGCCACUUGAGAUGCAACCUGAGGCCCUGGAAUCCCCGUGCUUGGAGCCCUGUGCCUGCUGGCUGAGCCAGACACACAGAGCGUCAUUCCUCAGCCUUCACACUCCCCAAAGCUGGCAGCAAGCUCUAAAAGCCAGACGCCUCUCAAUGGGCGCCCAGGUAGUCCAAGCACCUCCCCACAUGGUAGUGAGUAUCCUGUCCUAAAAGCAACUCAAAAAAGCCAUUUGGUGGGUGUGUCCUAGAGGGGCUUCCAGCAUCAGAUCCGUGAAGGGUUUAACGGCUAGGAAGGUUGCUUCUAAUGCUGAAAUUCAAUCCUUCUGCGAAAGUGCAUUUGUGAUGGCUAGAGGUAUUUAUAGACCAAUAAUCCAUAGAGUCCUGUGAGGCAGUGGAGGUGAAUUUGCUCCAGAGGCCGCCUCUAGCUUCUGCACUGGACUCUACCUCACCUUGGUGCUCCUUGGUGCUACAGUGCACUUUUAGGAUAGCACUUUCCACGUGACGUUCAGUCAUCUGUUCAUGAGACUCUCUCCUGCAAAUACACCAAAGCCCCUUAAGGGCAAAGACGGUUUUUUUUUUUUUUUCCCUCUCACUUUUGUACUCCCAGCUCUUACCACCGUUCUUUGAAUAUAGGAGUUCUCCACUAAUGAUUCGGGAACAGAAUCAAACCAGGCCAGGGGCCAAGCAGCCACCAAAGACUGUCCUUCUGGCCACUCUGCUCACUGCCCCCAUGUCAAAAUAUAAGAAUUUUAAUCCCCCAGGAGGGGAGCGUCAGGAAAAUAACCCCGUGAUCUGCUUUCUUGGGAAGCAUAGCCUUGAAGCAGGAACACGGAGCUUUCGGGAAGAUGCACGGCCCUGCUAGCUCAGAUCUUCCUUCUCCAAGAGGUGGUUUCCCACAGAGACAGCCAGAUCUGUGGGACAUUUAGACCCUCAUGGCCUCUUUCAGGAAGGAGCUGGUUCUCUUACUUGGCUUCAUUUUGAAAUGCUAAUUUGGUACACACAGGACUCUGCCAGAGCAUCCAAGCCAGAGUUCGAUCUGCUUCAGAGCACUUCUUGUUUUCAAUGGCUGGAACAUCCUCUCUGGAGAUGACACCCCUCUUAGGUUAAAGUGUGUUCCUUAUUGUGUUGAAGAUGAUCUUUCUCAUUAGGAAUGAACUAUAGACACACAUGUCCACCUUCAAGCAGCAGUUACGACCUUGAAAUCACGGGUAUGUUGAGUAUCUGUACUGUAUAGUUGAGUACCUGUGUAAAUGAGUUUUCCAUGUAUAUAAUCUUAUAAAAAUAUAUGCAUGGAAAACUAAUUAGCUAAACCAGUGGAAUUAAUGUAUAUAUUCUUGUAUGCAUGCAUGCAUUUAUUUUUUGUAAUCAUGGAGAUCUUUUACCAAAUAAAAUCCUGUGUGGG
RNAcentral lists this long non-coding RNA (2116 nucleotides) under Homo sapiens (human). RNAcentral describes it as "HSALNT0237623". Lineage: Eukaryota; Metazoa; Chordata; Mammalia; Primates; Hominidae. The record is from RNAcentral.